UACGGGGGGAGCAAGCGUUGUUCGGAUUUACUGGGCGUAAAGGGCGCGUAGGCGGUCAGCACAAGUCAGUUGUGAAAUCUCCGGGCUUAACUCGGAAAGGUCAACUGAUACUGUGCGACUAGAGUGCGGAAGGGGCAACUGGAAUUCUUGGUGUAGCGGUGAAAUGCGUAGAUAUCAAGAGGAACACCGGUGGCGAAGGCGGGUCUCUGGGCCGUAACUGACGCUGAGACGCGAAAGCGUGGGGAGCAAACAGG
Molecule: ribosomal RNA, 254 nt
Filed under: uncultured bacterium
Lineage: Bacteria
Description: partial 16S ribosomal RNA
Rfam family: Bacterial small subunit ribosomal RNA
Source: RNAcentral